CGCGCCAAAUUUCCACGAUGUGGUCCGUGCGUGUUUCUCUCUGCAGGUGAAGCCUGUUGCUCUCUAGUGGCGAUGCCUCUACACAACAAGCCCUUGCUCCAACCCCCCCUACUCCACAUAGCCCCUGUGGGUACCAUCCAUCAGAAGGGACGCCAUCCCCACCACCGCCACCCCACCUCCCCCGAGGGCCCCUGGGGGCUUGGCAGAGGACGCCUGCUGGAAAGGUUCUCCUCUCUGCGGAUCUCAGCUGAGAUGUGGACGGUAGACAAUCCAUGAAGAAUUGUCUGCGAUGGCCACCCUGUACCCCCCUCAUCCUGGUCAAGGUCGCAGAACCCCGCUCACCCAGGUCAAGGUCGCAGAACACCCCUUACCCUGGUCAAGGUCGCAGCACACCCCUCACCCUGGGUACAUGGAUUUUACAUCUGGAAGUUUGGCGUUUUUGGUUCUUUUUUUCCUCUUUCUCGCGAGCGCGUGUGUGUGUGCGUGUGCGUGUGUCACCAACACCACGUCGUACCCCCCUCAGAAGGUUAUUUUAUUUUUCCUCUGAAAUAAAACUGGUAUAUUUUUAGCUGUGGAAAAACAAGCACAGCUCUUAUGAAGGGCACACUGACUUUCACCCAAACCGCCCCCAACGAGCUCCGUGUCCUCGACCGGCCGCUAAAGCUUCUCCAUGUCGUUCCGACACAGAUCAGGGGGAGGGGGCUUUUUGAGUUGGUGCUAUGUUCAGUUAUUUUUUGUUUUUUUUACGAAGGACAAUCAUAAUGUGAAAGACAUGUUUGAAUUUGAACAUUUUCAGUUGAUUUCAAGAAGUGGCAUUUUUUUCUUUUUUUUCAUCUUUUAUUUGCUUUCUUUCUUUCUUUAAUUAAUUUUGAAAUGUAACGGCAGUUUUGUACUCGUCUCAGCCGCAUAGUUUUGUGAUAUAUCUUAUCAGAUCAUUUUCGAAACACAUCGUCAACUUUGUGUUGUCAAAAGGAAAGAUUCAGAACAGUUUUGCCACUCGUCCAAACGUCAAUUUACACUGAAUAAUACAUGCUGCCACCUGAAUCAUUGAAAGUAUUUUUUGCAGUGAAGGUUACAUUUGCAGUGAAAUACUGAAAGGGAUAUUGUUUAUUAUUGAGUUUUUACAAUGAGUUCCUGAGAUACAGCGGUAUCUUAUCGAAUUAUGUUUUGACGGGGUUUGUCUGUAAAAAGUCUGAUAUUUAAAAAAAGUUGUAUUUCAUUUGGCGGGAGGUGGAACGUCUAUGAAUGUCUGUCUUCAAGAUGUUUUAUUCAUGUCUUGUUUUGAAACCAAUAAACGUUUACAUCCCUGGCUGCGUGUCGUUGGUUAUUACAAGAUUACCAUAUGUUGACCGUACCGCAGCAUCGCUCGCUGUUGAGCGAUGCUGCGGUCCAUUGGCGUGGGGCCAAGGGUACCUGGCGGGAAGAUGAAGGUGCUAGUUCAGGUUGUUGUUCAUGUUAAUUAUGUUGCCUGGUAACAAGGUAAAGAUUUAUAGGUGAUUAACAUUGCUUGGACAAAUGACCGUUUGUGUCUGUGUAGGUCCUGUGAUCCAAUGGCAUUUAUUUUUCCAGUACUUUUUCGAAUAAAUUCCAAAUUUUGUGACCAAACAGCCAAAGCUGGUGUCGGCACAUUUGUCAGCGAUUGGGACACUAAUGAUAUGGGAUGAUAAUACAUAAAUAGAUUCUAUCUUCUAUUCAUUUGCUAUUCUUUUUAACGCCGUAAGCGGAAGAAUACUGUUGUGAUUAUCCUACUGUUCUGUUAUGGCUGUAAUAAUAUAACGUACAAACCAAAUGUAUUCCCAUUUAAAAAAUCUUCUGAAUGGUAUACUUUGGUUCCACCUAGUGGAUCAGAAGGGACACUGCAGUAUUGAACACCGUCUGUGGGAGUCUCUUCAUCACCACAUAUACAGGUGCUUCUCAAUAAAUUAGAAUAUUGUUGAAAUGUACUUAUCUUCAAUAAUUCAAAAUUCAGAAUUUAAUUAAUUCAUUAUUACAUAGAUUAAUUUCACCCAAAGGGAAA
This is a long non-coding RNA of Gadus chalcogrammus (walleye pollock), 2017 nucleotides long. RefSeq lists it as uncharacterized. The transcript is spliced from 3 exons. The record is from RefSeq and is a predicted model, not a curated record. Lineage: Eukaryota; Metazoa; Chordata; Actinopteri; Gadiformes; Gadidae.